GCCAUAAUAAACUUCAAGCGUUAAUGUUUAUUUCGAAUGUCAGUACACUGACUGAUAAAAUCAUUACAAUGAAAUUGAUUUCAGACCGCAAUCAUUUUAGAAGGUUUAAAUGCCAAAGCAACCAAAUAUCUGUUUUGUUUAACUUUUCAGCCAACUACAGCCCUGUUCAAAACUAUAGGGAGAAUGUAUAAAGUUGAUUUGCCGGUGGACAACCUUUCCAAUGUGGCAGUGGAACGCCGACUGGCCGCCGAGGCUGCGCUCCAGGCUCGGAUCUUCAAGCAUUGGAGAGAAGAGAACUGGAGGAGAUGGAGGGUCAAUGAGAGAAGGCCUUCGUCAGCGGUACCUGGCCAAGCAGCUGUACACCAGCCGACCCACAGCCCAGAACCACCCGUUUCAGCAGCAGCUCACGCUGGGGGAUCACCAGCACAGACUCACCGCACAAUACGGGAUCUCAGAUUCAGAUGAUAGGCACAACACAACAAUAAAAUCAGGUUUAUGGUAUAGGCACGCGUUACAUGCUUUCAUGUCUUUUAUCGAUAAGAUUUAGUCACUAGGUCAAAUGUUGAAGUGUUCUGCAACUUAUUCUCUCAGGAGCUGUAUUUGAUGUAUAAAAUUACUAUCUAGCUGUUCUUUUAUGUUUCAUGUGUCGUGGUCAGUAUCUAAUUUGGCUUAUCUUUUGAAGAUAAACAUGCAUGUUAUCGUCUUUAGACAUGAAUGCUAUGAGUAAUUUAAAGGAUGACAACCCGAUGAUGCCUCUUUUGGUUCAGAUUGUUCCAAGUUCUUUUUUAUUUAAUCAAUCACAUAUUUAGUUACAAGUAGCUGAUUCAUAAUGCAGAUAGUUACAUUGUCAUUGGGCCCAUAACAUACAGUACAAGACCCCCUCCAUACAGUGAUCCCAACCCACUUCACUUCAGUCUCAACCAAUGGCACGAGCACACUAGCCCAGUCCCAGAUCGGUUUGUACUGUCUUGCCAACUCCUACGACUUUAGCAUGAUAACAACCAUAGGAGUUUGCUAUACAACCCAAACAGAUCUGGGACCAGGGUGUGAAUUCACUACUGUACCUUCCAGUCCCCCAAAUCCAUUUGACUAGUGUUGCACCCCAAACAAAGCACACAGAGGCACUCUGUCUCCCCUCAGGCAGUGAAAUACAUAGUGUACAUAGUGUCUCUCCCCUCCCUCCAUCACGAAUAUAAAUCCAUGAAUGUCAUGUCCUAAAAUAAGCUGUUGCUGUCAUUCUCCUCUAUACGCAAUUCUUAUUCACUUUUUUUAUUUGCUUUUAUGUUGUAAGUAUAAAAAACAGGAAAGGAAAGUAAACAGAGGGGAAAAAACAAACGCUGUCGCUAAGUCUGGCUUAGACGAUCUCCUCACUGACCACGUAAGAAGCAAAGCAGAGCCAGAUAGAUAUAUAGGCAGGCAGGCUGGCAGGCAGUAGAGUGAGUAUCUGUGUGUUCAGUAGUUCACUCUUUCAAAGCAAACAUUUGUCCUGAAAUCACACCAUGAUAAACACAGAUGGUUAGCAGCUCUAUUGGCACCCUCUCCAUAUAGUUCACUUUUGACCAGGGCAUAUGGUUAUUUCUCUGAACACUAAGGGCUCUGGUCAUAAGUAGUGCACUAUAUAGGGAGCCAUUUGUGACGUAAUCCAUAGUUGUGAUAGAAUAACUGGCAUAUUACUUCAUUUUCUCAUUCCCAUAUGAAAAUAGAUUUCUGAAAAGAAAUGUUUUUGUCCUGAGUGUGUCUGUAACAGCAAACUACAGGGAGCUGGGCUCACUCAAACCUCUCGUUCAGACCCACUGUCUUUCUGCCAAGCCAGAGUCAAUCCCACUUUCUCUUUCCCAUCUCCCUGGGGAUGCACUGAACAGUAACGGUUUGGCUUGCAGUCAGACCUGGGUUCAAAUAGUAUUCACCCUUU
Oncorhynchus mykiss (rainbow trout) is the source of this 1912-nucleotide long non-coding RNA. RefSeq lists it as uncharacterized. The record is from RefSeq and is a predicted model, not a curated record. Lineage: Eukaryota; Metazoa; Chordata; Actinopteri; Salmoniformes; Salmonidae.